This 484-nucleotide ribosomal RNA is filed under the name uncultured Pseudomonas sp. RNAcentral's name for it is "bacterial SSU rRNA". It matches the Rfam family "Bacterial small subunit ribosomal RNA", at positions 898 to 1382 of the family's 1533-position model. The record is from RNAcentral. Lineage: Bacteria; Pseudomonadati; Pseudomonadota; Gammaproteobacteria; Pseudomonadales; Pseudomonadaceae.
AACUUAAAGGAAUUGACGGGGGCCCGCACAAGCGGUGGAGCAUGUGGUUUAAUUCGAUGGUACGCGAGGAACCUUACCAGGGCUUGACAUACGCCGGAAGCGCAUCGAAAGGUGCGUGCCGCUUGCGGCCGGCGUACAGGUGCUGCAUGGCUGUCGUCAGCUCGUGCUGUGAAGUGUUGGGUUAAGUCCCGUAACGAGCGCAACCCUUGUCCUUAGUUACCAGCACGUUAUGGUGGGCACUCUAAGGAGACUGCCGGUGACAAACCGGAGGAAGGUGGGGAUGACGUCAAGUCAUCAUGGCCCUUACGGCCUGGGCUACACACGUGCUACAAUGGUCGGUACAAAGGGUUGCCAAGCCGCGAGGUGGAGCUAAUCCCAUAAAACCGAUCGUAGUCCGGAUCGCAGUCUGCAACUCGACUGCGUGAAGUCGGAAUCGCUAGUAAUCGUGAAUCAGAAUGUCACGGUGAAUACGUUCCCGGGCCUU